RNAcentral lists this ribosomal RNA (495 nucleotides) under uncultured bacterium. RNAcentral describes it as "partial 16S ribosomal RNA". It matches the Rfam family "Bacterial small subunit ribosomal RNA", at positions 28 to 507 of the family's 1533-position model. The record is from RNAcentral.
GACGAACGCUGGCGGCGUGCCUAAUACAUGCAAGUCGAACGCUGAAGGAGGAGCUUGCUUCUCUGGAUGAGUUGCGAACGGGUGAGUAACGCGUAGGUAACCUGCCUGGUAGCGGGGGAUAACUAUUGGAAACGAUAGCUAAUACCGCAUAAUAGUAGAUGUUGCAUGACAUUUGCUUAAAAGGUGCAAUUGCAUCACUACCAGAUGGACCUGCGUUGUAUUAGCUAGUUGGUGAGGUAACGGCUCACCAAGGCAACGAUACAUAGCCGACCUGAGAGGGUGAUCGGCCACACUGGGACUGAGACACGGCCCAGACUCCUACGGGAGGCAGCAGUAGGGAAUCUUCGGCAAUGGACGGAAGUCUGACCGAGCAACGCCGCGUGAGUGAAGAAGGGUUUCGGAUCGUAAAGCUCUGUUGUAAGAGAAGAACGAGUGUGAGAGUGGAAAGUUCACACUGUGACGGUAGCUUACCAGAAAGGGACGGCUAACUACGUG